Molecule: unclassified non-coding RNA, 279 nt
Filed under: Hevea brasiliensis (rubber tree)
Lineage: Eukaryota; Viridiplantae; Streptophyta; Magnoliopsida; Malpighiales; Euphorbiaceae
Source: RNAcentral
GGAACUUUCUAUGGUUGAAUCAUGCAGCUACUUUUCUCACUACAACUUUACUCCUACCUAGCAGAGAUACUGAAUGCAUACUGCACGUAAGUUGACACUGAAAAUUGACAGCAGUUUAGAAUCAGCCUAGUUGAUAUUCAGGAAGAAAACCCAGUUAGUACCCAGGCUGCCAUUUUCCUUGAAAAUUUCCUUUCUCCAGAAUGACCGAGUCUUUAGUCAUGUGGAUAGAGUGCGGGCUUAAAGUGCCAUAUCAAUUUUCAGUGUCAACUUACGUGCAGU